UACGUAGGGCGCAAGCGUUAUCCGGAAUUAUUGGGCGUAAAGAGCUCGUAGGUGGUUUGUCGCGUUGUUCGUGAAAACUCACAGCUCAACUGUGGGCGUGCGGGCGAUACGGGCAGACUAGAGUACUGCAGGGGAGACUGGAAUUCCUGGUGUAGCGGUGGAAUGCGCAGAUAUCAGGAGGAACACCGGUGGCGAAGGCGGGUCUCUGGGCAGUAACUGACGCUGAGGAGCGAAAGCGUGGGGAGCGAACAGG
Molecule: ribosomal RNA, 253 nt
Filed under: uncultured bacterium
Lineage: Bacteria
Description: partial 16S ribosomal RNA
Rfam family: Bacterial small subunit ribosomal RNA
Source: RNAcentral